GACGAACGCUGGCGGCGUGCCUAAUACAUGCAAGUCGAACGAACUCUGGUAUUGAUUGGUGCUUGCAUCAUGAUUUACAUUUGAGUGAGUGGCGAACUGGUGAGUAACACGUGGGAAACCUGCCCAGAAGCGGGGGAUAACACCUGGAAACAGAUGCUAAUACCGCAUAACAACUUGGACCGCAUGGUCCGAGUUUGAAAGAUGGCUUCGGCUAUCACUUUUGGAUGGUCCCGCGGCGUAUUAGCUAGAUGGUGAGGUAACGGCUCACCAUGGCAAUGAUACGUAGCCGACCUGAGAGGGUAAUCGGCCACAUUGGGACUGAGACACGGCCCAAACUCCUACGGGAGGCAGCAGUAGGGAAUCUUCCACAAUGGACGAAAGUCUGAUGGAGCAACGCCGCGUGAGUGAAGAAGGGUUUCGGCUCGUAAAACUCUGUUGUUAAAGAAGAACAUAUCUGAGAGUAACUGUUCAGGUAUUGACGGUAUUUAACCAGAAAGCCACGGCUAACUACGUGCCAGCAGCCGCGGUAAUACGUAGGUGGCAAGCGUUGUCCGGAUUUAUUGGGCGUAAAGCGAGCGCAGGCGGUUUUUUAAGUCUGAUGUGAAAGCCUUCGGCUCAACCGAAGAAGUGCAUCGGAAACUGGGAAACUUGAGUGCAGAAGAGGACAGUGGAACUCCAUGUGUAGCGGUGAAAUGCGUAGAUAUAUGGAAGAACACCAGUGGCGAAGGCGGCUGUCUGGUCUGUAACUGACGCUGAGGCUCGAAAGUAUGGGUAGCAAACAGGAUUAGAUACCCUGGUAGUCCAUACCGUAAACGAUGAAUGCUAAGUGUUGGAGGGUUUCCGCCCUUCAGUGCUGCAGCUAACGCAUUAAGCAUUCCGCCUGGGGAGUACGGCCGCAAGGCUGAAACUCAAAGGAAUUGACGGGGGCCCGCACAAGCGGUGGAGCAUGUGGUUUAAUUCGAAGCUACGCGAAGAACCUUACCAGGUCUUGACAUACUAUGCAAAUCUAAGAGAUUAGACGUUCCCUUCGGGGACAUGGAUACAGGUGGUGCAUGGUUGUCGUCAGCUCGUGUCGUGAGAUGUUGGGUUAAGUCCCGCAACGAGCGCAACCCUUAUUAUCAGUUGCCAGCAUUAAGUUGGGCACUCUGGUGAGACUGCCGGUGACAAACCGGAGGAAGGUGGGGAUGACGUCAAAUCAUCAUGCCCCUUAUGACCUGGGCUACACACGUGCUACAAUGGAUGGUACAACGAGUUGCGAACUCGCGAGAGUAAGCUAAUCUCUUAAAGCCAUUCUCAGUUCGGAUUGUAGGCUGCAACUCGCCUACAUGAAGUCGGAAUCGCUAGUAAUCGCGGAUCAGCAUGCCGCGGUGAAUACGUUCCCGGGCCUUGUACACACCGCCCGUCACACCAUGAGAGUUUGUAACACCCAAAGUCGGUGGGGUAACCUUUUAGGAACCAGCCGCCUAAGGUGGGACAGAUGAUUAGGGUGAAGUCGUAACAAGGUAGCCGUAGGAGAACCUGC
RNAcentral lists this ribosomal RNA (1522 nucleotides) under Lactiplantibacillus pentosus. RNAcentral describes it as "Lactobacillus pentosus 16S ribosomal RNA". It matches the Rfam family "Bacterial small subunit ribosomal RNA". Lineage: Bacteria; Bacillati; Bacillota; Bacilli; Lactobacillales; Lactobacillaceae. The record is from RNAcentral.